This 128-nucleotide small RNA is filed under the name Serratia grimesii. RNAcentral describes it as "RtT sRNA". It matches the Rfam family "RtT RNA". Rfam says of the family: This family represents a bacterial cis-regulatory element known as RtT RNA. The exact function of RtT is unknown although it is thought that it may be involved in changing the cellular response in relation to amino acid starvation. The record is from RNAcentral. Lineage: Bacteria; Pseudomonadati; Pseudomonadota; Gammaproteobacteria; Enterobacterales; Yersiniaceae.
UUUACAUCUGUAGUUUAUAGGAUGAGCACCUCCGAAGGAGGUUUGAGCCGAGCGCAGCGAGACAACGUUGCUUUAGCAACGGCCCGCAGGGCAGCAUCACAGAUGCAGUAAUCCUCUCUCCACCACAU